RNAcentral lists this ribosomal RNA (465 nucleotides) under uncultured bacterium. Its description in RNAcentral is "partial 16S ribosomal RNA". It matches the Rfam family "Bacterial small subunit ribosomal RNA", at positions 338 to 795 of the family's 1533-position model. The record is from RNAcentral.
CCUACGGGAGGCUGCAGUAGGGAAUCUUCCACAAUGGGCGAAAGCCUGAUGGAGCAACGCCGCGUGGGUGAAGAAGGUCUUCUGAUCGUAAAACCCUGUUGUUAGAGAAGAAAGUUCGUGAGAGUAACUGUUCACGUUUCGACGGUAUCUAACCAGAAAGCCACGGCUAACUACGUGCCAGCAGCCGCGGUAAUACGUAGGUGGCAAGCGUUAUCCGGAUUUAUUGGGCGUAAAGGGAACGCAGGCGGUCUUUUAAGUCUGAUGUGAAAGCCUUCGGCUUAACCGGAGUAGUGCAUUGGAAACUGGGAGACUUGAGUGCAGAAGAGGAGAGUGGAACUCCAGGUGUAGCGGUGAAAUGCGUAGAUAUAUGGAAGAACACCAGUGGCGAAAGCGGCUCUCUGGACUGUAACUGACGCUGAGGUUCGAAAGCGUGGGUAGCAAACAGGAUUUGAUACCCUGGUAGUC